AUGAAUUUAGAGAAAUCAGGUCUUUCUAUGGUCCUGUUUUGGGCUUCUGACCUCAACCCAGAGACAGAGCACUGGGCCACGUUGCCGGCUGCUGUGGGGACCCUGCUGAAGGUGCUGGAGUUCUGCCUGGAGAAGAGACACCUGCCCAGUUACUUCCUGCCGUCCAUUAAUUUCUUCGACUGGCACCGGACUGAGGAGGAGAAUUCCCUGAGGAACCUGGGGCUGGAGGCGCUCAGACUGGAGGUGAGGCUGAUGAGAUGCAGCCCAGAACGGUACCUGCAGCUGUGCUACGACCUGGCCAAGCCCCCAGGCCCGGGACCCUUCGUCCAACGGGCGCGGGAGCUCGACGCCUUUAGAAGGGAGCAUCGGAACGACUUGGAAGAGUUCAAACACCUGAAGGAAGGAAAACAGCCGGGACAGGGAGCUGCGAGUGUCUUCUUUGCCCAACACAGACACCUGGGCUCGUGUCUGCAGUUAAAUAUGCUACGCCAGGAUUUCUUAAACUGGGGGUCGGGACCCCUCCAGGGGCCGUGAGGUUAUUACAUGGGGGGUCGCGAGCUGUCAGCCUCCACCCCAAACCCCGCUUUGCCUCCGGCAUUUCUAAUGGUGUGAAUGUGUUUUUAAUGUAUAAGGGGGGGUCACACUCAGAGGCUUGCUGUGUGAUAGGGGUCACCAGGACAAAAGUCUGAGAGCCCCUGGUCUACGCUAACUUCACUUGGCUUUGGAUUUAUCCCGGGGGAACAGAGUCUGCUUAAAAACCAUGAGCCUUGAUUUAAAACACAAUGUUUUUAAACAAUAAUAAAGGCUGGGUUCUGUUCA
Molecule: long non-coding RNA, 819 nt
Filed under: Chrysemys picta bellii (western painted turtle)
Lineage: Eukaryota; Metazoa; Chordata; Testudines; Emydidae
Description: lncRNA (ENSCPBG00000009049.1)
Source: RNAcentral